AUUGAACGCUGGCGGCAUGCUUUACACAUGCAAGUCGAACGGUAACAGCACUUCGGUGGCUGACGAGUGGCGAACGGGUGAGUAAUGUAUCGGAACGUGCCCAGUAGUGGGGGAUAACUACUCGAAAGAGUGGCUAAUACCGCAUGAGAUCUCUGGAUGAAAGCGGGGGACCGUAAGGCCUCGCGCUACUGGAGCGGCCGAUAUCAGAUUAGGUAGUUGGUGGGGUAAAGGCCUACCAAGCCUGCGAUCUGUAGCUGGUCUGAGAGGACGACCAGCCACACUGGGACUGAGACACGGCCCAGACUCCUACGGGAGGCAGCAGUGGGGAAUUUUGGACAAUGGGCGCAAGCCUGAUCCAGCAAUGCCGCGUGCAGGACGAAGGCCUUCGGGUUGUAAACGUGCUUUUGUUACGGAACGAAAGACCUUCUUCUAAUACAAGAGGGUCAUGACGGUACCGUAAGAAUAAGCACCGGCUAACUACGUGCCAGCA
This 490-nucleotide ribosomal RNA is filed under the name uncultured bacterium. Its description in RNAcentral is "bacterial SSU rRNA". It matches the Rfam family "Bacterial small subunit ribosomal RNA", at positions 30 to 513 of the family's 1533-position model. The record is from RNAcentral.